Molecule: long non-coding RNA, 310 nt
Filed under: Physcomitrium patens
Lineage: Eukaryota; Viridiplantae; Streptophyta; Bryopsida; Funariales; Funariaceae
Description: long non-coding RNA (PPAT_LNC009116)
Source: RNAcentral
UUGAUUUAUUUGAAAUUUUUGGAGCAUAAAGCUAUAUAAGCUGAGCUCUGAAAGGCACCAGUUUUGGUGAAUUUGAAGAAAAUCUGAAUUUCUAGUGAAUUUCUAAGUGAAGAGGGUUGGUCACCAUGGUAGUUUGGAUCACUCAACUUCAAGGGAGGAAUUCUCACGAUUGGAUCAUUAGAUUACAACGAAGAUUGUUGGAUCAAAAGCACCUUCAAGUCAAACUUGCAACAAACUAAGAAUCAUUCAAAUUGAAGCCGAUUACAAAUUUUGGCAAAUUUUGGAGUAGAAGGGGGUCGCUGCCUUCAAU